Molecule: ribosomal RNA, 475 nt
Filed under: uncultured bacterium
Lineage: Bacteria
Description: bacterial SSU rRNA
Rfam family: Bacterial small subunit ribosomal RNA
Source: RNAcentral
CGCUAUCACUCCUACGGGGAGGCAGCAGUGGGGAAUAUUGCACAAUGGGCGCAAGCCUGAUGCAGCCAUGCCGCGUGUGUGAAGAAGGCCUUCGGGUUGUAAAGCACUUUCAGUAAGGAGGAAAGGUUAAGUGUUAAUAGCACUUAGCUGUGACGUUACUUACAGAAGAAGCACCGGCUAACUCCGUGCCAGCAGCCGCGGUAAUACGGAGGGUGCGAGCGUUAAUCGGAAUUACUGGGCGUAAAGCGUACGCAGGCGGUUUGUUAAGCGAGAUGUGAAAGACCCCGGGCUUAACCUGGGAACUGCAUUUCGAACUGGCAAACUAGAGUGUGAUAGAGGGUGGUAGAAUUUCAGGUGUAGCGGUGAAAUGCGUAGAGAUCUGAAAGAAUACCGAUGGCGAAGGCAGCCACCUGGGUCAACACUGACGCUCAUGUACGAAAGCGUGGGGAGCAAACAGGAUUAGAUACCCUGGUAG